GACGAACGCUGGCGGCGUGCCUAAUACAUGCAAGUCGAACGCUUCUUUCCUCCCGAGUGCUUGCACUCAAUUGGAAAGAGGAGUGGCGGACGGGUGAGUAACGCGUGGGUAACCUACCCAUCAGAGGGGGAUAACACUUGGAAACAGGUGCUAAUACCGCAUAACAGUUUAUGCCGCAUGGCAUAAGAGUGAAAGGCGCUUUCGGGUGUCGCUGAUGGAUGGACCCGCGGUGCAUUAGCUAGUUGGUGAGGUAACGGCUCACCAAGGCCACGAUGCAUAGCCGACCUGAGAGGGUGAUCGGCCACACUGGGACUGAGACACGGCCCAGACUCCUACGGGAGGCAGCAGUAGGGAAUCUUCGGCAAUGGACGAAAGUCUGACCGAGCAACGCCGCGUGAGUGAAGAAGGUUUUCGGAUCGUAAAACUCUGUUGUUAGAGAAGAACAAGGACGUUAGUAACUGAACGUCCCCUGACGGUAUCUAACCAGAAAGCCACGGCUAACUACGUG
This 508-nucleotide ribosomal RNA is filed under the name uncultured bacterium. Its description in RNAcentral is "partial 16S ribosomal RNA". It matches the Rfam family "Bacterial small subunit ribosomal RNA", at positions 28 to 507 of the family's 1533-position model. The record is from RNAcentral.